Molecule: ribosomal RNA, 408 nt
Filed under: uncultured bacterium
Lineage: Bacteria
Description: partial 16S ribosomal RNA
Rfam family: Bacterial small subunit ribosomal RNA
Source: RNAcentral
GACGAACGCUGGCGGCGUGCUUAACACAUGCAAGUCGAACGAAGUGGCGCACGGGUGAGUAACGCGUAAUCAUCCUGCCCUUCAGAGGGGGACAACAGUGGGAAACGACUGCUAAUACCGCAUACUGAAGUAGGGGAUUGCGUCGGAAUAGCUAGUUGGAGGGGUAACGGCCCACCAAGGCGAUGAUCAGUAGCCGGGCUGAGAGGAUGACCAGCCACAAUGGAACUGAGAAACGGCCCAGACUCCUACGGGGGGCAGCAGUGGGGAAUCUUCCGCAAUGGACGAAAGUCUGACGGAGCAACGCCGCGUGAGUGAUGACGGCCUUCGGGUUGUAAAGCUCUGUUAAUCGGGACGCGGUACCGGAAUAGAAAGCCACGGCUAACUACGUGCCAGCAGCCGCGGUAAUUC